GGGGAAUAUUGCACAAUGGGGGAAACCCUGAUGCAGCGACGCCGCGUGAAGGAAGAAGUAUUUCGGUAUGUAAACUUCUAUCAGCAAGGAAGAUAAUGACGGUACUUGACUAAGAAGCCCCGGCUAACUACGUGCCAGCAGCCGCGGUAAUACGUAGGGGGCAAGCGUUAUCCGGAUUUACUGGGUGUAAAGGGAGCGUAGGUGACAGGGCAAGUCAGAUGUGAAAGCCCGGGGCUCAACCCCGGGACUGCAUUUGAAACUGCCUUGCUAGAGUGCAGGAGAGGUAAGUGGAAUUCCUAGUGUAGCGGUGAAAUGCGUAGAUAUUAGGAGGAACACCAGUGGCGAAGGCGACUUACUGGACUGUAACUGACACUGAGGCUCGAAAGCGUGGGGAGCAAAC
RNAcentral lists this ribosomal RNA (400 nucleotides) under uncultured bacterium. RNAcentral describes it as "bacterial SSU rRNA". It matches the Rfam family "Bacterial small subunit ribosomal RNA", at positions 356 to 773 of the family's 1533-position model. The record is from RNAcentral.